Long non-coding RNA from Symphalangus syndactylus (siamang), 357 nucleotides. RefSeq lists it as uncharacterized. NCBI's taxonomy places the organism in Eukaryota, Metazoa, Chordata, Mammalia, Primates, Hylobatidae. The record is from RefSeq and is a predicted model, not a curated record.
AAUAUCUUUGAAAAGAUAGUCUGGAACGAAAGCUGUCAAUGCUUCUGCUCAGAAAACAUAUGGAAACCCAAAAUUCAUAAAGAGUUGUCUCCAACAGGUCUGGCAUACCAAUGAAACUACUGAUGUCAACUGGUCUGAUGAACCUCACAAGAAGCUGACCCACCAAAGAAUGUUGUUUCCGGAUGAUUUCAUCUCUCUUACUCCAGUGAAUCCGUGACCCCAAUUUUCUAGUCCCUUGCCUUCCAUGAUCCCCUUAUAAACUCCACCCCUGAACUCCUCCGGGAGAUGGAUUUAAGAAUCUCCCCUCAUCUCCUUGCUUGGCACCCUGCGACCAUUAAACUCCUUGUCUGUUGCAAA